ACUUGAGUGCAGAAGAGGACAGUGGAACUCCAUGUGUAGCGGUGGAAUGCGUAGAUAUAUGGAAGAACACCAGUGGCGAAGGCGGCUGUCUAGUCUGUAACUGACGCUGAGGCUCGAAAGCAUGGGUAGCGAACAGGAUUAGAUACCCUGGUAGUCCAUGCCGUAAACGAUGAGUGCUAAGUGUUGGAGGGUUUCCCCCUUCAGUGCUGCAGCUAACGCAUUAAGCACUCCGCCUGGGGAGUACGACCGCAAGGUUGAAACUCAAAGGAAUUGACGGGGGCCCGCACAAGCGGUGGAGCAUGUGGUUUAAUUCGAAGCUACGCGAAGAACCUUACCAGGUCUUGACAUCUUCUGCCAAUCUUAGAGAUAAGACGUUCCCUUCGGGGACAGAAUGACAGGUGGUGCAUGGUUGUCGUCAGCUCGUGUCGUGAGAUGUUGGGUUAAGUCCCGCAACGAGCGCAACCCUUAUUAUCAGUUGCCAGCAUUCAGUUGGGCACUCUGGUGAGACUGCCGGUGACAAACCGGAGGAAGGUGGGGAUGACGUCAAAUCAUCAUGCCCCUUAUGACCUGGGCUACACACGUGCUACAAUGGACGGUACAACGAGUCGCGAAGUCGUGAGGCUAAGCUAAUCUCUUAAAGCCGUUCUCAGUUCGGAUUGUAGGCUGCAACUCGCCUACAUGAAGUUGGAAUCGCUAGUAAUCGCGGAUCAGCAUGCCGCGGUGAAUACGUUCCCGGGCCUUGUACACACCGCCCGUCACACCAUGAGAGUUUGUAACACCCAAAGCCGGUGAGAUAACCUUCGGGAGUCAGCCGUCUAAGGUGGGACAGAUGAUUAGGGUGAAGUCGUAACAAGGUAACCAAGGGCGAA
This 869-nucleotide ribosomal RNA is filed under the name uncultured Lactobacillus sp. RNAcentral describes it as "bacterial SSU rRNA". It matches the Rfam family "Bacterial small subunit ribosomal RNA", at positions 640 to 1510 of the family's 1533-position model. Lineage: Bacteria; Bacillati; Bacillota; Bacilli; Lactobacillales; Lactobacillaceae. The record is from RNAcentral.